RNAcentral lists this ribosomal RNA (301 nucleotides) under uncultured bacterium. RNAcentral describes it as "partial 16S ribosomal RNA". It matches the Rfam family "Bacterial small subunit ribosomal RNA", at positions 509 to 807 of the family's 1533-position model. The record is from RNAcentral.
CAGUCGCCGCGGUAAUACGAAGGGUGCAAGCGUUACUCGGAAUUACUGGGCGUAAAGCGUGCGUAGGUGGUGGUUUAAGUCCGUUGUGAAAGCCCUGGGCUCAACCUGGGAAUUGCAGUGGAUACUGGGUCACUAGAGUGUGGUAGAGGAUAGUGGAAUUUCCGGUGUAGCAGUGAAAUGCGUAGAGAUCGGAAGGAACAUCUGUGGCGAAGGCGACUAUCUGGGCCAACACUGGCACUGAGGCACGAAAGCGUGGGGAGCAAACAGGAUUAGAUACCCCCGUAGUCCCUGUCUCUUAUAC